Falco peregrinus (peregrine falcon) is the source of this 5500-nucleotide long non-coding RNA. RefSeq lists it as uncharacterized. Lineage: Eukaryota; Metazoa; Chordata; Aves; Falconiformes; Falconidae. The record is from RefSeq and is a predicted model, not a curated record. The transcript has 2 exons.
CCAAGUUCAGGUGUUACAGCAUCAACCAUGCAGGGCAACAUCUGACCCCCAGUGUCUGCCUGCCUGGGAUGGCACUACAGAGUAAAUUAAAUGAACACCUUUCCACUUUGCAACAAUGGGAGAGUAGUGAAUUGCCAAAGCUAAGUCCUUCCCAGGGUGUAAAUCCAGCUGAAGUCCAAGAACCUAAAGACAGAUGCUCUUCUUCAACUCCCUGCUUUAAUUGCAAAGUAAAUGGAAGACAGAUCCAGGUUAACUCUGCUUCUAUCUUUAUAGACCAACACUUAGCUAGCAUGGCUUGCAAAAUAAAUAUAAAACCAAACAAAAUAAUCACACACAUCCCCAGUGUACCUGGGGAUUACAGGCAAAACUGCCCUAGAAAUCUAUUAUUGUACUGUCAUUUGAUGAUGACCAAAAAGAAGAAACUAAACAGGAAAGAUGACCAAAUCAAAAAGCUUGGAAAAACUUUCUCAAAAAAUGGCUGGAUUUUUGACUAAAUCCUUUUUCACCCCAACAGUUUCAUAAAUACCAGGCUUUCUUGCAUUCAAAUUCCCCCUACCACCACUUUUUUUUUCCCGGGUAGUGAAACAGCCUUGGCCUUUGGCUUUUAAUUUCACACCAGCUCAAGGCAAGAGUCAAAGUUUCCACUGACUGCGGCCCAUCGGCAACCUGCCACAGUUCAACAGCUCCUCGACAGGAGGGUUGUGACCGUGCCCUUUAAAACCUUCACAGUUUAGAGAUCUUUCACAUAGAGCACUCUUUUCCAGGAGACUGGUUUGCAUGCUGGCCCUCCAAAAAUGUUCUUUCCUCCUGCCUCUUGUGACUUGCAUUAGUCUAAUUUUUUCAUAAUUUUUUCAGCUCAAGGCUGACAUGGGGAAGGCUGGGCAAUUUAGUCACCCAGCAGAGUGCUUACAGUUACACAAACGAUGAUAAGAGCGUGUUGCUGCACUGCUUUCUACCUUAAGUAGGAUUAAUGGAAGAAGGCAAGCCUGCUGAAAAGAGAGCAUUGAGGAGACUCCAGCCUUGAUCCAAAAAGAGUUUGGGGCAGGUUCUAGGAUUAUGCACCUGACCGUGGCUGCCCCUGUACGUACCUGCCUUCCUGGCGGAGGUGGCAAGAAGAAAUGGGAAGUGGCUUUGCCCCACACUAAGGCUUUACCUGCUGACGGAGCCGGGCAGGGCUGCUGGGUUUUGCUCACUUGCAGGCAUGAAAUGGAGUGGGAAAAGGCUUCGGGUAAGCUUGGCUGGAGGAGACUUGGGUAGGGUCAAAUUGGGGCACGUGUUUAUUAAACAAGGGGCAGCACGUUUGUGAUCGUGACCAGCAGCCAGGGGAGGGGAGGGAGAAGGCAGGCAGGGCACUGGUGAGGCAGCACAGCCUGCAGCUGGGACACCUGCGAGGUCAGGUGAAGCAGAGACUGCCCACCCUUGGUUUGAACACACAUGAUUUAUGCGGAGUCUUGUUUCCAAAGAAACCUGGCUCACAGGGCUUUUAGGUGUCAUCAUGGAGGAGAAAUCUGUGCUGGGGGCAUUACUCCUGUCUGCUCUGAACUCCCCUGCUCUUUCCCACCCAAAGGGCUCCAAGGACCCAUGCACAAGUUGGGAAAUCCCCCUUGAAGGCAUUAGAGGUGCUGGACUUGGGUCCCAGGAGGCUGGAGUUUGGUGGGAAAGGGGUCGUACCCAGCAUAUAAGUCUGUUCACAUCAGGCUAUUGCACAGGGAGUAAAAAUAAUAUAAAAUGGUCUCUUUACAAAAAUAAGCCUUGCAAUUCCCUCCUUUGGAGGUCUCUGACAACCCCCAUCCCUUAGCUCUCAGAAAGCAACUCCACCUCAAAAAUCACUUCUUGAAAGAAUGGUUACAGCAAAGAACAAACUCCCUAUUUCUUACACCUCCCACACAGAAAUGUCAGAAAGGUACUGCCAAAACAUUUUCCACGAUGACUGGCAACUUGCUUGCAUGCCAAGAGAAAGGAACUUGUAAGAACAUGCAAAAGUGUAAUCUUGCCAUUCCCUGCAUUUAAAAAGUUUUUAAAAGAUGCUAACUAUUUUUAAUUGAGUUUGAAGAAGAAAGCUACACUAUAUUGGUUCUUUUUUAUUUUAAUUUUGUGCAACUCACCCAUGUCUAGUCUUGUACCAAGAACAAGAGUUAGAGUACACCCUGCACAGGUAAAAUUUAAUUAGCUAACACUUGCUUAUUAUCCUAGACUGCCAUUUGCAUUCCCCGUGCCCUGUUUAGGAAGUGAUGGUGUAUGUUCUGCAGUUCAAGUGUUAUUUAUGUACCCUCCCAUCAUCACUUUGUCAAAAACAAAUGUCUGAGGUGAAGAAAGAAGCCUGCACUGCACUAAUUGCUCAUUGAUACCCUGGUCGGGCUUACCAGCCUUUUUUAAAAACAGUGUUAAAAGACACCAUAGACCAGUAUCUCUAUCCUGCAAGAGCCAAAUUAUUUCCGCCUGUUGAUAAGCAUGUUUCUCACAGACAGAAAAGAAAGCAGCUGAUAUCCAAGCCUUAUUUUUUUUUUAAAUAUAUAUUUAUAUUCGAGGGCACAACUGUAUUUCCUUAAAUCAUGUCAGUAGUAGGAAAGGUCUAUGAUUUAGGAGUGAUGGCAAAGUCAAUGAGUCUUAUGUCAACAUCCUUUGUCCAAAUCUAAUUUGAUAGUGAUGAAAAGGUGUCACUUAGUGAUCCCUCUACUUGAGAUAAAUUUAUGGUAAGACACUUGAUAGGCAGGUGCUUAAAAUAGAAAAGCUUUUCUUAUACCUGUGGCAGCAUCAGCUGCACUUUUUCUAUAGAUAAAUAGAAUACCAAUGACAUCAGUUCAGGCAAAUAAAUCAGCCCAUACUGUUUUGAAGGGAUCAAUUGAUCAAAUGAAAAAAAAACCCCAAAAACAAAACACCAACAAACAAACUGAAAAAACUUCUUCCCCCCAGCCUGCCUCUUUGCUAUCACAGCAGAAACUUCUGAGGACACAACUCUUCCAACAAACCUCAUUUCCCCCCCAGAGGAACAGCAAGCCUUCUUCACAACACCUCACAGAAGGAUGGUUUCAAGCAAGAGGAACAUACAGAAAACUAACCUCAAAUUACUUACUUGCCAGACUAAUUCAUGGUGCUUGCUUUCUUCCAAACAGUCACUCCACUCUUGGCCUCCCCUCCAGCCCUUACAACCUCUCUCCAGCUCCAAGGCUCUUUGCAGAAGCAGAGAGAAGCCCACUGCUGUUGGUUAGAGGCCCUUCACCAACCCACAGCCUACCAGGGCUGUGACCCCAACAACAUGUGCUCAGACACACCUGUAUAAUAAAGCUACAGGUGAAGGAAGUGAAGCAAUUACCAUUAUUGAUGCAGGCUUACCCUUGGCUUUGGAGAAGUGAGGAAGAUGCUUUGGCACAAGUGUAGAGGAUGAGAGAAAAGCGGCAGUGGAGAUGUAUCAUCACCUGGCCUUGGUUUGUGGUCCCUCCAGCCUUGCCUAAUUCUCCUGCAAGGGACACAUUGGAGGUAUGAAAACAGAAUUAACCCUGUGAGUAGCAUUCUUCACCCUGCUCUAAGGAAAUACUCUAGAGUUACAGACAGCAGUGGAACUGAGAUCAGCUUGAAAUGGAGGUGUACUGAAGCUACUGGUGUUGUACUGAUAGCUUAAAAAAUCCAAACAAGAAAAAAAAAAAGCUCAUUUUAAGCUGCUGGACCCAAGCAUGGUCUUCACAACCCUUUUAUCUUUUCUAGUUGGGGAAUGUUCUUUUUUAAGCUGAGUAGUAAUUGAUAUUGAAGGAAGAGCUCCAGGGCAUUAACUAGUCCAUACUACCUCUCAGUGUUGGGGAGUUAAAAACGGGGAGUGUUCUUCCACACACAGCUAGCUGUGCUCAUGGUAUGUAGCUCGUCUUUCUGGUCCCUUACACUGAUGCCUGUUGGAAAGCAGAUGCGUAGAGGGCUGAAACCCUCACUGAAGCCACAGAAAACUGCGAGUGGUCAAGUAUAUGAAUGCCAGGCAAACUAUUUGCUCUGACAGUGGCUGCUUUUCCUUCAUUUUUGUCUUCCCUACAGGAUUCACUUUUUAAAUGGUUUAUUUACGGGUUUGGCUUGUAUAUCUAACUGCACCCAGAGAAUUCCAGCUCAAAAAUUUACGUGUGCUUAGUAAUUUUAAGCUCCACACAUGAGGCAACGUGUGCAGACAGAGAGAAAGGGGGGAAAAAAUGAUUCCAAGUAUGUUGCCUCUCUGAAGAGCUGCUUUGAGAUUGAUAGUUUUACUGUGCAGAUCCACACCCCAUUAACCCUCAUAGCAGUAGGCUGCCAUUAGGAAUUUUGCCCUUCUUUUUUUCCUGGGUUGCCAAUGAACUGAGGCCACGUUGCAGAGGGAAGGAUGCUGAUGCUGCUUGCCCACCCGUGGCCCUGAGGAAACAUCAGGAAGAGGGUUGUGCUUCACCCUUUGCCCCUGCCACAUCUCCUUUCCCAGAAGCUGCCCAUCACAGACCUGUCUCUCACAUCCAUCCUACCUGCGUGAGGGCUUCUCUGCAGCAUUUCAGGAAAUGGAUGAGUGCAUCAACUUAUUUGUGGCAACUUUUUGUAAACAGUGAGGAAUGUGCGGCCAUAUGGAGCUGUGCACUGAGCUAACAGGCUGGUGUGAAUCCUCUUCUGGGAAGCUGGUCUCUCUGUCAAGGAAAAGCAAAACAAAAGAGCUCAGCAAAUGUGCACCCAGGAUUCUCCAGAUGAUAAAAGCUCAGAAUAAGGGGCACUACCUCGCAUAUGCUGUGUGUAAGCACAAGGACAGUUACUUCAGCAUAACUUACACAGAAUAACCUGAAGCCUGACAACCCACCACACUGCAGUUUGCUGUCAGUAACUGCUCCCAUUGCAAAGGAGGAUUUCGGCUAUGGAGGGAUUUGUCUGAGGUUUUGAUGGGAAACCGGAGCUCUCAACCAUGGGCAGCCCUGCUCAUUUCAAGGAGUGAUACCUCAUGUGCCAUUGACAAUCCUUUAGAUAGUCUUUUAAGUCUUUCCCCUUUUCUAGUACUUAUCAAAGGACUAAAAGAUGGCUGCAAAGAUCUACAGGGGCACUUGAUUAACAGGGGAGAGGAAGACAAAGGAUGCAUAAAUCAAGGAGAAAAAGUCUUUAAAGACAGAGUGAGACUGUAAAGUAACUUGCUCACACAAAGGAGAUGCCAGUAGUUAAAAUUUCAUGAAGGGGCUCUGGCUUUCAAAGUUUGGAGGGCAAUGUGGAGAGUGUUUCUGAUACUUCAAAACCAGCUACUACAAUUUAACAAAAUAAUACUAAAAAACACACUGAAAAAAGAGAAUGUUUGGUAAAGACACUCUUACCAGCAACUAUCCAGCCUAUUUGAGUUAUACCUCAUGGCAAACCAUCUGACACCACAAAAAUCUGCAACUUCCAUUUGCUAUCCUUUUUUUUCUUUCCCCCUUAACUAUGCCAUUUCUACAUUGGCCUGCAAAUUAUUUCUGUGACCCCCAGACUGUGACCAGAAAGAGCUGUGCAAAUGCUUUAAAAAAAUAAAUACUUGAGAAAACUG